RNAcentral lists this ribosomal RNA (943 nucleotides) under unidentified. RNAcentral describes it as "Inocybe velicopia partial large subunit ribosomal RNA". The record is from RNAcentral.
CUUAAGCAUAUCAAUAAGCGGAGGAAAAGAAACUAACAAGGAUUCCCCUAGUAACUGCGAGUGAAGCGGGAAAAGCUCAAAUUUGAAAUCUGGCGGUCUUUGAUCGUCCGAGUUGUAAUCUAGAGAAGUUGUUACCUGUGCAGGACCGUGUACAAGUCUCCUGGAAUGGGGCAUCAUAGAGGGUGAGAAUCCCGUCUUUGACAUGGACUACCUGCAUGUUGUGGUGCGCUCUCAAAGAGUCGAGUUGUUUGGGAAUGCAGCUCAAAACGGGUGGUAAAUGCCAUCUAAAGCUAAAUAUUGGCGAGAGACCGAUAGCGAACAAGUACCGUGAGGGAAAGAUGAAAAGAACUUUGGAAAGAGAGUUAAACAGUACGUGAAAUUGCUGAAAGGGAAACGCUUGAAGUCAGUCGCAUCGACCAGAAAUCAGCCUUGCUUUUGUGAGGUGUACUUUCUGUUUGAUGGGUCAGCAUCAAUUUCGAUCGCUGGAUAAAGUCUCUGGGAAUGUGGCAUCUUCGGAUGUGUUAUAGCCCAUUGUCACAUGCAGCGGUUGGGAUUGAGGRACUCAGCACGCCGAAAGGCCAGGUUUCGACCAUGUUCGUGCUUAGGAUGCUGGCAUAAUGGCUUUAAUCGACCCGUCUUGAAACACGGACCAAGGAGUCUAACAUGCCUGCGAGUGUUUGGGUGGAAAACCCAUGCGCGCAAUGAAAGUGAAAGUUGAGAUCCCUCUAGUAGGUGAGCAUCGACGCCCGGACCAGACCUUUUGUGACGGAUCCGCGGUAGAGCAUGCAUGUUGGGACCCGAAAGAUGGUGAACUAUGCCUGAAUAGGGUGAAGCCAGAGGAAACUCUGGUGGAGGCUCGUAGCGAUUCUGACGUGCAAAUCGAUCGUCAAAUUUGGGUAUAGGGGCGAAAGACUAAUCGAACCAUCUAGUAGCUGGUUCCUGC